CCUACGGGAGGCAGCAGUGGGGAAUAUUGCACAAUGGGGGAAACCCUGAUGCAGCGACGCCGCGUGAGUGAAGAAGUAUUUCGGUACGUAAAGCUCUAUCAGCAGGGAAGAAAAUGACGGUACCUGACUAAGAAGCCCCGGCUAACUACGUGCCAGCAGCCGCGGUAAUACGUAGGGGGCAAGCGUUAUCCGGAUUUACUGGUUGUAAAGGGAGCGUAGACGGCAGCGCAAGUCUGGAGUGAAAUCCCAUGGCUUAACCAUGGAACUGCUUUGGAAACUGUGCAGCUAGAGUGCAGGAGAGGUAAGCGGAAUUCCUAGUGUAGCGGUGAAAUGCGUAGAUAUUAGGAGGAACACCAGUGGCGAAGGCGGCUUACUGGACUGUAACUGACGUUGAGGCUCGAAAGCGUGGGGAGCAAACAGGAUUAGAUACCCGGGUAGUC
This 440-nucleotide ribosomal RNA is filed under the name uncultured bacterium. Its description in RNAcentral is "partial 16S ribosomal RNA". It matches the Rfam family "Bacterial small subunit ribosomal RNA", at positions 338 to 795 of the family's 1533-position model. The record is from RNAcentral.